Molecule: ribosomal RNA, 497 nt
Filed under: uncultured bacterium
Lineage: Bacteria
Description: partial 16S ribosomal RNA
Rfam family: Bacterial small subunit ribosomal RNA
Source: RNAcentral
GAUGAACGCUGGCGGCGUGCCUAAUACAUGCAAGUCGAGCGAACAGACGAGGAGCUUGCUCCUCUGACGUUAGCGGCGGACGGGUGAGUAACACGUGGAUAACCUACCUAUAAGACUGGGAUAACUUCGGGAAACCGGAGCUAAUACCGGAUAAUAUAUUGAACCGCAUGGUUCAAUAGUGAAAGACGGUUUUGCUGUCACUUAUAGAUGGAUCCGCGCCGCAUUAGCUAGUUGGUAAGGUAACGGCUUACCAAGGCAACGAUGCGUAGCCGGCCUGAGAGGGUGACAGGCCACACUGGAACUGAGACACGGUCCAGACUCAUACGGGAGGCAGCAGUAGGGAAUCUUCCGCAAAGGGCGAAAGCCUGAAGGAGCAACGCCGCGUGAGUGAUGAAGGUCUUCGGAUCGUAAAACUCUGUUAUUAGGGAAGAACAAAUGUGUAAGUAACUAUGCAAGUCUUGACGGUACCUAAGCAGAAAGCCACGGCUAACUACGUG